UACGAGGGGGGCAAAUGUUGUUCGGAAUCACUGGGCGUAAAGGGAGCGUAGGCGGGUUUUUAAGUCAGGUGUUUAAUCCCGGGGCCCAACCCCGGACAGGCACUUGAAACUGGGAAUCUUGAAUAGUGGAGAGGUCGGUGGAAUUGGGGGUGUAGCGGUGGAAUGCGUAGAGAUGCGGAGGAACACCGAUGGCGAAGGCAGCCCCCUGGGCUAGCACUGACGCUCAGGCACGAAAGCGUGGGGAGCAAACAGG
RNAcentral lists this ribosomal RNA (253 nucleotides) under uncultured bacterium. RNAcentral's name for it is "partial 16S ribosomal RNA". It matches the Rfam family "Bacterial small subunit ribosomal RNA", at positions 524 to 776 of the family's 1533-position model. The record is from RNAcentral.